AUGCAGUCGAGCGGUAGCACAGAGAGCUUGCUCUCGGGUGACGAGCGGCGGACGGGUGAGUAAUGUCUGGGAAACUGCCUGAUGGAGGGCGAUAACUACUGGAAACGGUAGCUAAUACCGCAUAACGUCGCAAGACCAAAGUGGGGGACCUUCGGGCCUCAUGCCAUCAGAUGUGCCCAGAUGGGAUUAGCUAGUAGGUGGGGUAACGGCUCACCUAGGCGACGAUCCCUAGCUGGUCUGAGAGGAUGACCAGCCACACUGGAACUGAGACACGGUCCAGACUCCUACGGGAGGCAGCAGUGGGGAAUAUUGCGCAAUGGGCGCAAGCCUGAUGCAGCCAUGCCGCGUGUGUGAAGAAGACCUUCGGGUUGUAAAGCACUUUCAGCGGGGAGGAAGGCGAUGAGGUUAAUAACCUCAUCGAUUGACGUUACCCGCAGAAGAAGCACCGGCUAACUCCGUGCCAGCAGCCGCAGUAAUACGGAGGGUGCAAGCGUUAAUCGGAAUUACUGGGCGUAAAGCGCACGCAGGCGGUCUGUCAAGUCGGAUGUGAAAUCCCCGGGCUCAACCUGGGAACUGCAUUCGAAACUGGCAGGCUAGAGUCUUGUAGAGGGGGGUAGAAUUCCAGGUGUAGCGGUGAAAUGCGUAGAGAUCUGGAGGAAUACCGGUGGCGAAGGCGGCCCCCUGGACAAGACUGACGCUCAGUGCGAAGCGUGGGAGCAACAGGAU
RNAcentral lists this ribosomal RNA (726 nucleotides) under uncultured bacterium. RNAcentral describes it as "bacterial SSU rRNA". It matches the Rfam family "Bacterial small subunit ribosomal RNA", at positions 55 to 778 of the family's 1533-position model. The record is from RNAcentral.